RNAcentral lists this ribosomal RNA (497 nucleotides) under uncultured bacterium. RNAcentral describes it as "partial 16S ribosomal RNA". It matches the Rfam family "Bacterial small subunit ribosomal RNA", at positions 28 to 507 of the family's 1533-position model. The record is from RNAcentral.
GAUGAACGCUGGCGGCGUGCCUAAUACAUGCAAGUCGAGCGAACAGACGAGGAGCUUGCUCCUCUGACGUUUGCGGAGGACGGGUGAGUAACACGUGGAUAACCUACCUAUAAGACUGGGAUCACUUCGGGAAACCGGAGCUAAUACCGGAUAAUAUAUUGAACCGCAUGGUUCAAUAGUGAAAGACGGCUUUGCUGUCACUUAUAGAUGGAUCCGCGCCGCAUUAGCUAGUUGGUAAGGUAACGGCUUACCAAGGCAACGAUGCGUAGCCGACCUGCGAGGGUGAUCGGCCACACUGGAACUGAGACGCGGUCCAGACUCCUACGGGAGGCAGCAGUAGGGAAUCUUCCGCAAUGGGCGAAAGCAUGACGGAGCAACGCCGCGUGAGUGAUGAAGGUCUUCGGAUCGUAAAGCUCUGUUAUUAGGGAAGAACAAAUGUGUAAGUAACUAUGCACGUCUUGACGGUACCUAAUCAGAAAGCCACGGCUAACUACGUG